UUAGAAAAGGUUGAUGAAGUAAGUUUAGAAGAAUUCGGUGAAUUCAUGGAAGCCAAAUAGACAUUGGAGAGACUAAGGAAAAAAUUUGACUCUUUGGAUUUAUUGAGUCAUUCGUUCAAGCCUCCUAAACCUUUUACAGAGGAACCUCCUACAUUGGAGUUGAAACCUCUGCUACAACAUUUAAAACAUGAAUACUUGGGAGAUAACAACACCUUGUCGGUUGUGAU
RNAcentral lists this long non-coding RNA (227 nucleotides) under Gossypium barbadense (sea-island cotton). RNAcentral's name for it is "long non-coding RNA (GBAR_LNC012284)". The record is from RNAcentral. Lineage: Eukaryota; Viridiplantae; Streptophyta; Magnoliopsida; Malvales; Malvaceae.